Molecule: unclassified non-coding RNA, 1684 nt
Filed under: Homalodisca vitripennis (glassy-winged sharpshooter)
Lineage: Eukaryota; Metazoa; Arthropoda; Insecta; Hemiptera; Cicadellidae
Description: uncharacterized LOC124357142, transcript variant X2
Source: RNAcentral
UCAGUGAAGUGAAGUGACGUUCACGUAACUCGUAAUUCAUGCAUCGUAAAAUAUUAUUCGUGUUGAGUUGAGUUGUUGCAUAAAGUGUUAGGUUAACAUUCCGUGGUUAUUUUAUUGGUAGAAUUUAUUGUGUGUAUAAUGUUUUUGUGCCAAGACGUGAGUAAUAAUUUUUAUGUGAAAAUUGUUUGUUCUUUCGUAGCCUAGUUCAGAAGUUAAAACUGAACAUUAGUGACCUUACUUUAGGCACAAGUUUACUGUUAGCCUUUAAAUUAUUUACUGAAUUCCGAGUUUUUUAUUUUGGGAUUUUUAAUGAUGGAAACCACAUAUUUGAACUCAGAAAACAUAUCUUUAAUAGAGAAUUUGACAGGUGAGAAAAUUGUAGGGCUUAAAAGAAAGCUUAGAAUUUCAAACAAUAAAACGGAUGGUGAAUCUAGUAGGGACUCAAACGUAUCCUCUUCAUUUUCAACUUGUAUGCCUGUAGACAGUGAUACUUAUAGUGAUUCAGAUUUUGAAGAGCAUCCAUAUUCUGCAAAAAAGAAGAAAUUAUUACCUAAAACUAAGUCAGUCUCUGGCAAUUCAAAAGUAAAUGUGAAUGAGGAUGAACAAAUAAUAGGUGCAUAUAGUUGCAGAAAGGAGAAGAAAAAAACUAAGUGCAUGUCCAAGAAUGCUUUGAUGGCUAGAAUUAAUAGGCAAAAGAAAAAGAAAUACAUUGAAGACCUAGAGACUAAGAAUGCGGAGCUGGAAGGGGAAAAUCAAAUAUUAAAAGACAUGUUAAAUAAAAGUAUUGAAGAAGCUGCCUCUUUAAAGAGACAAGCCAUCAAUUUACAUAAUGUAAUUCGAAACAGUACUGAAAUUGGUUCUCUACUAAAGUGCAUUCACAAAAAUACUGAUUUACAGAUAUCUUCAUCAUUGAUAAAGGAUAUUUCAAGAAAAUCCCUAAGUGCUAUUGGUUCCAAAUUUAACGAACCAAUGUUCUCAACUCCCACAGACAUUCCUGGAAAUGAGGAAGGUAAACAUCUUUUAAACCCACCCAAUAGUUUAAUUAAAACCUCAGUAAUUUGUCCAGAAACAUAUGUCACAAAUAUUGGCUUAAGUGAUGACUCCACCAAUGAUCUAUAUCUCGGCCAAAGUAAUAUGCUGUUGGACAAUGAAAACGUAAAUAGCUUUGAAUCAGAAACCACCAAAAGAUCAUCUAGACCUCUAUCUUAUUCUCAGCCUGACAUUGCUGUAGAUGAUUUGUUUGAUAAUGUGAUCUUGGACAGUGACUUUAGGUGUAAUACUCCUUCUAGAGGUUAUGAAACACAUGAAAAUGAGGGAAAUUUAUUUGAUGAUACAGCUUUGCUUGCAGCUCUUGUGUGGGGGAUGGUGUUGCACAUUCUGCCAGCCCUACAAGAUGUCGUCAGUAAUGAACGUCUUCAACAUCAAUUAUAAAUGAUGGCCAAGUCUUCCCAGAUAUGACUAAAAAGGAGACACCAGAUUGAUAGAUGUACUUGGCUCCUCCCGUAGCUGCAAUCAACUGGCUUGGUGAUAAUCUUCUCUCAAUCAGCACUCGGAGGCCUGCCAGAGUUGUUCCUACCGAAGAGGAUGCGGUGAGAGUCCCGAGGAGUGAAGGGCCGCUUGGUAUUGACAGCCCGGACUGCCUUGUGCUCCAUCGCUGCCCGGGCCUCACUAACUAUUUCUGCAC